This 253-nucleotide ribosomal RNA is filed under the name uncultured bacterium. Its description in RNAcentral is "partial 16S ribosomal RNA". It matches the Rfam family "Bacterial small subunit ribosomal RNA", at positions 524 to 776 of the family's 1533-position model. The record is from RNAcentral.
UACGUAGGGUGCAAGCGUUAAUCGGAAUUACUGGGCGUAAGGCGUGCGCAGGCGGCUUUGCAAGACAGAUGUGAAAUCCCCGGGCUUAACCUGGGAACUGCAUUUGUGACUGCAAGGCUGGAGUGCGGCAGAGGGGGAUGGAAUUCCGCGUGUAGCAGUGAAAUGCGUAGAUAUGCGGAGGAACACCGAUGGCGAAGGCAAUCCCCUGGGCCUGCACUGACGCUCAUGCACGAAAGCGUGGGGAGCAAACAGG